Long non-coding RNA from Raphanus sativus (radish), 509 nucleotides. RefSeq lists it as uncharacterized. The record is from RefSeq and is a predicted model, not a curated record. The transcript has 4 exons. NCBI's taxonomy places the organism in Eukaryota, Viridiplantae, Streptophyta, Magnoliopsida, Brassicales, Brassicaceae.
CUAAGCCUUAGAUCUCUGCAGAGUGUGAGCCGUCGAGCAGAUCUGAGUCCGUACAGCCAGUGUCACCGUCGACCGAGAACGGAACCGCCGACCAGUCGCCAUCAACCACCGAAGACCACCAGUGUGUUCCCCUUGUCGAGACGAGUCCGGAGCUAGAAGAUCAGCCGCAGACCACCGCGCACGCGCCUCCACGCGCCUCCACGCGCCGCCGCUCCACCACGCGUGCAUCUCACGCGCCGCCGCCUGUCACCGCCGUUCGCCGGAGUCUUCGUCGCCGGUGACUGCUCCGAUUUGGAGUCUAUUUGAGCAGUUGGAGUUCAUAGCUACUACUUUUCCCAUUUCUAAGGUGAGACAGACGAGUAGGAGACUGAUCGGACAGCUGGUGUUUCUAGGCGUUUUCAUUGUCUUUAUUCUCAGACUUAUAUUUUAUUAUUAUUCUAUUAUUUUCGGCGAUUAUUUCAGUAUUUGAGUUAUUGGAUUUAUGGAUUUAUUUCGUUAUUUAUAUGGAA